GUGUGUGCAUGUAUAUGUGCAUGUGCAUAUGUGUGUUGGACCAGCAGGAAGACAGACAAAGGACAGAAGACAGCUGAGAGGAGCCACAGACAAAUU
RNAcentral lists this microRNA precursor (96 nucleotides) under Cavia aperea (Brazilian guinea pig). RNAcentral describes it as "miRNA (ENSCAPG00000003592.1)". Lineage: Eukaryota; Metazoa; Chordata; Mammalia; Rodentia; Caviidae. The record is from RNAcentral.